Molecule: ribosomal RNA, 497 nt
Filed under: uncultured bacterium
Lineage: Bacteria
Description: partial 16S ribosomal RNA
Rfam family: Bacterial small subunit ribosomal RNA
Source: RNAcentral
GACGAACGCUGGCGGCGUGCCUAAUACAUGCAAGUUGAGCGAUGAAGCUUGGUGCUUGCCCCAAUUUGAAGAGCAGCGAACGGGUGAGUAACGCGUGGGGAAUCUGCCUUUGAGCGGGGGACAACAUUUGGAAACGAAUGCUAAUACCGCAUAACAACUUUAAACAUAAGUUUUAAGUUUGAAAGAUGCAAUUGCAUCACUCAAAGAUGAUCCCGCGUUGUAUUAGCUAGUUGGUGAGGUAAAGGCUCACCAAGGCGAUGAUACAUAGCCGACCUGAGAGGGUGAUCGGCCACAUUGGGACUGAGACACGGCCCAAACUCCUACGGGAGGCAGCAGGAGGGAAUCUUCGGCAAUGGACGAAAGUCUGACCGAGCAACGCCGCGUGAGUGAAGAAGGGUUUCGGAUCGUAAAACUCUGUUGGUAGAGAAGAACGUUGGUGAGAGUGGAAAGCUCAUCAAGUGACGGUAACUACCCAGAAAGGGACGGCUAACUACGUG